RNAcentral lists this ribosomal RNA (380 nucleotides) under Clostridioides difficile. Its description in RNAcentral is "bacterial SSU rRNA". It matches the Rfam family "Bacterial small subunit ribosomal RNA", at positions 1 to 388 of the family's 1533-position model. Lineage: Bacteria; Bacillati; Bacillota; Clostridia; Peptostreptococcales; Peptostreptococcaceae. The record is from RNAcentral.
UUUUAUUUGAGAGUUUGAUCCUGGCUCAGGAUGAACGCUGGCGGCGUGCCUAACACAUGCAAGUUGAGCGAUUUACUUCGGUAAAGAGCGGCGGACGGGUGAGUAACGCGUGGGUAACCUACCCUGUACACACGGAUAACAUACCGAAAGGUAUGCUAAUACGGGAUAAUAUAUUUGAGAGGCAUCUCUUGAAUAUCAAAGGUGAGCCAGUACAGGAUGGACCCGCGUCUGAUUAGCUAGUUGGUAAGGUAACGGCUUACCAAGGCGACGAUCAGUAGCCGACCUGAGAGGGUGAUCGGCCACAUUGGAACUGAGACACGGUCCAAACUCCUACGGGAGGCAGCAGUGGGGAAUAUUGCACAAUGGGCGAAAGCCUGAUG